This 4538-nucleotide long non-coding RNA is filed under the name Nicotiana tabacum (common tobacco). RNAcentral's name for it is "long non-coding RNA (NTAB_LNC002558)". The record is from RNAcentral. Lineage: Eukaryota; Viridiplantae; Streptophyta; Magnoliopsida; Solanales; Solanaceae.
CCGGUCCCCGAGCCGGUUCCAGCAAUAAGCCCGUGAAGUCCGGGACCGUUUAGGACCGGACGACAUAGGACCGGCCCACUUAGGACCGGAGCCGCGAAGCCCAUUUAGGACCGGGCCCGGCCCACUUACCACCCUUAGGUUGAAAGUAGUGACGAGCUUUUACCAAGGUCGGAUCCGAAAACUAAUAGUCCACAACAGUCCAUAACCACGUAAAGCAAAUAAUAUAAGAAGUAACUCAGAGAUAAAAUGCUCAGCUAAAUCAUGAUUUCAAAAAUAAUAAUUCUUCCUUUCAAGUACAUCAGUGAAAACCCAAAUUGUUUACCGAAGUUGCCAAAAAUAUGAAUAUGUUUGAAAACAAUAAUUUUCCCAAAAUCCUUUCAAUAAUAAAUGAGAUGUUUCAUUUUCUUUCCAGAUAACCCGUGUAAAACAAAUGCAUCACUAUGCCCAUCUGUCAAUAUAUGUGAGAAAUCAUGAAUGAUGUGAUACUGUACAGCAUGAGAAAAAUACAUCUCUAUGCAUGUAUGUCAUGUGUGUAUGUCAAUGCAAUGCAACUCAGUGAUUAAAUCAUAUGCAUACUCUCAGAGUAUCAUUUCACUCAGUCCUCCCAGUCACUCAAUUCUCCCAGUCACUCAGUCCUCCCAAUCGCUCGGCACUCGGCACUCGCACUCAGUAGGUACCUGUGCUCACUGGGGGUGUGUACAGACUCCGAAGGGGCUCCUUCAUCCCAAGCGCUAUAAUCUGCACGGACAACUCAUGUUCUAUAAUAAUAUCUGGAUCCGCACGGACAACUCACGUGCUGCACGGAUAACUCACGUGCUGCACAGAUAACUCACGUGCUAUAAUAAUAUCUGGAUCCGCGCGGACAACUCACAUGCUAUAAUAAGUCAAUCUGGCAUGCUGCGGCGUGCAUCCUGAUCCCAUAAUUAUCUUCACAAUCAGGCCCUCGGCCUCACUCAGUCAUCAAUCUCUCCAGUCUCUCGGGCUCACAAUGUCAUGAAAAUAGCCUGAAAAUGAUGAUAUGAUGUAUCAAUAAAUAAUAACAGAGACUGAGAUAUAAUAUGCAAUGAAACGAAUAUGACUGAGUAUGAAUUUUCAAUUUAAAAUAAAUAAUUCACAGCAAUACGACCUCUGUGGGUCCCAGUAAUACUCGCACACAGCCUCAACAUGAUUUUCAAUAUGAUUCUCAGCUCAAAUUCCUUUAACAUAUGACAAUACAAGGAAAAUGCCAAGAUUAGUUUACUAUAAAAUUUCACGGAAAUAAUUAUGUCAAAAUUUCCAUACUGCACGCCUACACGCCCAUCACCUAGCAUGUACGUCACCUCCCAACAAUUCACAUAAUAUAUGUAUUCAGAGUUCAUACCCUCAGCUUAAAGAUUAGAAGAGUUACUUACCUCGAACGAGCCGAAUCCAAUGUCGAGCAAGCUAAAUAAUGCUCCAGAAAUUCCAUUCUGUGCGUAAUAACUUCCGAAUGGCUCGAAUCUAGUCACAAUUAAUUUGAUUCAGUCAACCCAAAUUAUAGAAAUUUAUUCCAUAUCAAAAUACUAAUUUUUCCACAAAAUCCAAAAUUACACUCAAAAUUGCCCGUGGGGUCCACUUCUCGGAACCCAACAAAAGUUACAAAAUAUGAAUUUUCAUCCAACCACGAGUCCAACCAUAUAAAUUUCACCAAAUUCCAACAUCAACUCGACCCUCAAAUCUUUAAUUUAUCAUUUUCAACCAAAUCUUUACCCAUUUGAACUCAAAUAUCUUUCCAUAAAACUUAUUAGUAUAUAUAUGUAUACAUAAUACACUCACACCCAAUAAUCAUACUUCUCAUGACCUACUUUUAAUCAAAAUCCCGAAAUUUAGGGCUAGGGAAUCGAAUCUUACCUAUUAGAUGAAGAUCUUGUGAAAUCUUCAAGCCUUGAGCAAGAAUUGAUGAACAAAAUAGCUAGGUCUUUUCUUUCUCUCUCUAAGAUAGCUCUUUCCUCUCUCUACAAAAUCACAUUUUACCUUCUAAAAUGAUCCCCUAAGGCCUUAUAUCAAAAUUGGAUCGGAUAUAAAAAUUUUCAAAAAUGACCCCCGAAGUCAAUUAUGUGGUACAAUUAUGCUAUAGCAUAAUCGUUUUGUGGGCAGCAGAAUUGCAACAUAAUCAAUUAUGCUAUAGCAUAAUCAAUUAUGCGACAGCAUAAUAUUUUUUUUCAAAAUUUGCCCGUCUCUGCUCCACUUUGCGAUGCUUAUGCGGUCUGCGGAACCGUUUUGCGGUCGCGAAAUUGAUCGCAGAUCCAGCCUUUGGUAAUUUGGUCAUAACUUCUUGUUGGAGUGUCCAAAUGACGAACAGUUUGAAGCGUUAGAAACAAGACUCAAAGAUAUUUUAUUUUAUAGGUAAUACACCAUAUAAAACUUCGUAUUAUGAGAGUUAUACUUAUUUGAAGUUAGGUCUUGUGCGAACUCACUUGCAACUUUAGUCUAUUAUGAAAUUUCCAACUUAUACAUUCGAUGCCGAAACCUAUCGAAUCAAAUCCAAUUGACCUCAAAUUUUGCACACAAGUCAUAAAUAACAUAACGAACCUAUUCCAGUUUCCGAAAUUGGAUUCUGACCCCUAUAUCAAAAAGUCAACCCCCGGUCAAACUUUUCAAAAAUUUAACUUUCGUCAUUUCAAGCCUAAUUCUACUACGGGACUCCAAAUAAUUUUUCGGGCGCGCUCCUAAGUCCAAGAUAACCAUACGGAGCUAUUGGAAUCAUCAAAAUUUAAUUCCUAGGACGUUUACACAUGAGUGAAUAUCCGGUCAACUUUUUCAACUUAAGUUUUCAAUUAUGAGACUAAGUAUCUCAUUUCACUCCGAAAUCCUUCCGAACCCGAACCAACUAACCUGAUAAGUCAUAAAUCAACUGUAAGAUAUAAAUUGAGUAGUAAAUAGGGGAACAGGGCUGUGAUACUUAAAAUGGCCGAUCGGGUCAUUACAAUACUCAAAUAUAGGCAGCAUGUAUUUGACAAUGAGAUAUAUAGGUUGAGAUACAACUAAACAUGUGAAAUCAACUACAAUUCUUGUCACGAAAUUGCUAUGGAGACCAUCUGUCCUUAACGUGCAAAUCCAUAAAAGGUUUUAAGUCUUUAACAUAUCAAAACUAACAUCCAUUCAUGUUCAAAACAGAACAAAUAGUCAAUUUACACAAUCACAACAAAUAACUUUAAAGAAUAACCAACAUUUCAUUGCAAAUCAAAACAGAGGUACAUGUGUGAGAUGUGUACCUAAACUCGUAAACAAGCUGAACUUUUGCUAAAUAAAGGCUAAGGAAAUAGCUAACAUGUGAGCUAAAAACAAAUCAGCAGUAGAAGGCAGAAGAAAUAACCUCAAAUCUCAGCUAAACAACAGAGUGACAACAGUACAGUUUUUCAGCAACUCGAUGCAAUUUUGAAGAAACCAGAAGUUGAAUAGCAAAUCAAACAGAGAAAACAACUUGGGAAAACCUUGAUAGAAUUUUCAGAGUGUUUUCUUUGAGAAAUCAGUGUAAAAUGAAGAGAGGAUUGUGAAGUUUUGGUCGAGAAUUCCCUGUCUGUUUAUGAGGGAAUGUGAGUCCUUAUACAGAAUGUAAGGGUGUGCUAUAUGAGAGUAAAAAUCAGAGAGUGUAGGGAAUCUGUCAGGCACCCUAAAAAUUAGGAAAAUUGCAUUUUUCUUAACAGAAUUGGACAGUUAUCCUAUUUUACCAUCUUUUUUUAACAGUUGUCCUUUUUUCUAUUUUUCACCAUCUCUCCUAAUUUUUCUUAUUUUCAAUUAACUCCAUAAAGUUUUUAAUAUUUACAAAAAGCUAUAAUAAGAAAACCAGGCGAAUCCAAAGAUCGAAACAAAGCCAACCAUAUGCAAAUCAACCUAACAAGUAAUUUUAACAUAUAAAUUGCUUCAAUGUCUGAACUAAUCUAAAAUCAAUUAACCUAAAUUUAUGCAAUUAAACUAACUACCAUGAGAUUACAUCUCUAAACAAAAUCCAAAAUUAAUUAAUCUUAACUCCUAAUUGGUCUGAAACAUGUUUAACAUAUGAGAAAACAACACAUUUUGAGAAAAAUUGGAAAAAUAGAAGAGCUGCUUGGUCGAAGAGGAAAGAAAGAAUAAAAAGAAAAGAAAGGAAAAGGAAUUACCUACUGAUCAUACAACAAAGAAUUUUUCGAAGAAUAUGGCGAUUUGAUCAAAUCUGAUGUCUUCGAAACGUGGCGAAAUUAUCAUCAUUCGAUUGUUCUCGUUGAGAAUAAUCAAACAAUGCAAAUUUCGGACCGAAUCAAGUCUUGAAAACUUUGAAAAAUCGAACAAGGCGAACUAGGGUUUCUUGGUAUUCUUAGAUCCGGGAUUCACAGUAAUUAUGUGGUUUUCUGGGGGAAUUGAUGAGAGAUUAGGGAUUAAGCGGAUGUGAGGGUUGUAGGAUGAAGUUUUGAAGGUGUUUGGAAAUGAGCCGCCGAGGUGGAUUUUUGGGGUGGCUAGGGUUUUGAGAGGAUUUGGGAGAGAUGAGAGUGAAGUGAGGAUUCUCUUAAGGUUUUUUGUUUUUUUUGGGGGGGGGGAGGGGG